This is a long non-coding RNA of Zingiber officinale, 524 nucleotides long. RefSeq lists it as uncharacterized. The record is from RefSeq and is a predicted model, not a curated record. The transcript is spliced from 2 exons. Lineage: Eukaryota; Viridiplantae; Streptophyta; Magnoliopsida; Zingiberales; Zingiberaceae.
UUUUCCCGAACCCUAAAAAUAUUUUCCUCCUCUCUCGCUCCCGACGCCGCGAUUUCCUCUUCUCGGGCGGAAACAGAGAAAAGGCUAGGGCACGUCUCCGGCGCCGGCGAGUGGCUAACUUUGAGGAUCUCCUUCACCUUCGUGAUCCCCUCGUCGAGAAGAGUAAGUAAGCACGAAGGAAAGGUUGAAUCUUCAAGUUCUCCGAACCCUAGAGGCUUUCUUUUCCGGCUGUGAGUUCAAGAACGGCAUGAUAAAGGAAAGGAAAAGAUCUAGCAAGGAAGGUGACAAGGUGGUGUGGAUGGUGUGUGAUGCCAGGACUAUGGAAGCCUUGGGACUUAGUUAAGGAUAUGUCUAGAUUAAUUCUUUAUUUAGGAUGAUAAGAAAAUUAGGAAGUAAGAAGUUGUAUUUCAUUAUUAAGUUUCUGCAUUUUAGUAAUUGGGAUGAUAUAUGUUAUUUUGAUGUUAUUAGGACAUAGUAGAUGAUUUGGGAUCUUGAGUAAUAUAGUUCUCUUUUGUUUUGGAUUA